UGGGCUGUCGUUCAAUGGUAGGACGGCGGAUUCUGGCUCCGCUAAUCUAGGUUCGAGUCCUGGCAGCCCAGCCA
This 74-nucleotide transfer RNA is filed under the name Desulfovibrio sp. RNAcentral describes it as "tRNA-Gln". It matches the Rfam family "tRNA". Rfam says of the family: Transfer RNA (tRNA) molecules are approximately 80 nucleotides in length. Their secondary structure includes four short double-helical elements and three loops (D, anti-codon, and T loops). The record is from RNAcentral. Lineage: Bacteria; Pseudomonadati; Thermodesulfobacteriota; Desulfovibrionia; Desulfovibrionales; Desulfovibrionaceae.